Long non-coding RNA from Mesocricetus auratus (golden hamster), 3077 nucleotides. RefSeq lists it as uncharacterized. The transcript is spliced from 5 exons. Lineage: Eukaryota; Metazoa; Chordata; Mammalia; Rodentia; Cricetidae. The record is from RefSeq and is a predicted model, not a curated record.
GCGAGGUGUGGCAGGGCUGGAGUCCGUAAAGACAGCCCAAGAGAAGCAUUGGUAAAACUGUAGCCCAGAUGCAGCAAGGGACCCCAGCAUUUUGGAGAUGCCAGUACCAUGGGAUGACCACCAAGAACAGCAGCCAGACAGAGCCUAGAAGAGCAGCUGUGUGUGCUGCAGAGGGCAGGCCCAGAGAGGUGAACCAAGCUCCUCUGAGGAGCCCAGAAUAUUGACUUGCUCAGCUUACUUCCUUAGACAACCCAGGACCACCUGCUCCAGGACGUCACUGACCGCAGCAGCCCAGGCCCUCCCACAUCAACCAGCAAUCAAGAAAAUGCCACGCAGACAUGCCUACACGCCAACUGAUGGAUGCCACGCAGACAUGCCUACACGCCAACUGAUGGAUGCAAUUCUUCCAGCUGCAGCUCCCUAUCCCCAGGUGACUUUAGUUUCUAUCAAGUUGACGGAAACUAACCAGCACACAUGGCAGUGAAGAGUCAGCAAGACAAUUAUGCGGAUGCUGGCAUCAACUCUUGUUAGCUGCUAACCGGUCUCGGUGGAGCCGCAAUUUCUCAGCCUUCCUAAUGCUUGACCUUUAAUUGUGGUGACCCCAAUCAUACCACUGUGUGAGCACUACUUUAUAACUGUAACUUUGCUACUGUUGUGAAUCAGAACGUAAAUACCUGGUAUGCAGGACGCCUGAUAUGCAACCCUGGGAAAGGGUCAUUUUACCCCAAAGAAGCCAUGAGCCACAGGCUGAGAACCAACGCUGUGGAGCGUCUGCACACUGAUCUAUUCCCAACACCUCUCUGCACACUGCUCUCCUAUUCCCGACUUCCCGGAGCAUCUCCCCGUAACUGCACUCCCAGGCAUAGAAUAUGCAGGCCGGAGAGAGAAGCAUCUAAGUAAGAUGUGAAUCCGUUUAGGCUUUGUCCCAUUUACAGUCCUGUUUCUGGUACUGCUGGAAGACUGUGCCCUUGUCCUUUAGGAUAUCUACUGCUGUUUAAAACACCGUGACCAAAAGCAACUUGGGGACAAACAGGUUUAUUUCAUAUUACACUUCUACGUUAGAGGCCGCUGUUGAAGGAAGUCAGGCCAGAAACUCAAGUCAGGAGCGCGGAGGCGGGAGCCGAUGCAGAGACCAAGGAGGGUGCUGCUUGCUGUCUUGUUCCCCAUGCCUUGCUCAGCCUGCUUUCUUAUACAAACCAAGACUGUCUGCCUAAGGGUGGCACCACCCACAGUGGGCUGAACCCUCCCACGUCAACCAUUAAUAAACUAAAAUGCCCAGCAAACUCACCUACAGACCAAUUUUAUGAAAGCAUUCUCUCAAGAUUCUCUUCCAAGACAUCUCUAGGUUUGUGUCAAGCUGAUAAAAACCAAACAUCAUGGUCCAUGAUCCUGGCCAGUUCAGAGAAGGCCCAUCACAGCUAUGAACAUCAGGCUAAGACUUUCUGUUGUAAGUGCUGGUAAAGGAAGCUCCCCCUGCCUCCCAGGGGUUAAGUCCAGACUGCUCACAAGCUAUUUUGAAUGAGAGAAGUGUAUUGUGUGAGCACAUAAAUCUAGUUUUACCUGAAGCUGGAAACUAUCAACAUUUUGAACUACAUUAACUCAAGUUACUUGGCUUUCUCUUCAUCUAUUACAACAACAACAAUUCUUAAAUAACACAGUAGGGAGGAUUACAAACCAACAGAGAGCAGCAGUGAGUGAAAUCUAGGAUUACAUCAUCAUGACAGUUUUCUGUGCCUUCUACUUUUGUGACUAUGAUUGACUACUUAAUUCCUCAACCACAGUUUCUCAGAUUCAGAAUAGGAGAACCAGUAGUCUUGCCUAGUGGGACUCUCAGAUCAAAAAAAUCAAACAGGUUAGUUUAGGAAACCAGCUUAGCAUGCUGCCUGAGAAUAAGCACUCUAAAAUGCAUUAUGGUUUUUUAUUCCUCAUCAGCUUUAGACGUCAAAACACUGGGUCUUGGAAAGGCAUCCAGAAGCCUCACAGAAUAGUAUCAUUGUCAUCUGCCUGUCCAGCUACAUUUGGACACAGAUCUGCUGGCUUGGUGUACAAGCAGGACUUCAUAUCUUUAUACCUUCUAUUCUUGUGACUUAAUGGUUAAUGCAGAGAGCCAGCAGAAUGGGACUACUCCAUCAGGAAGCAAUUUCCGGUUUUAUAUGCUUACUUAGACCAGUUUGUAAGAUACGAAAUGAGUGAGAAGAGGUAUCUCCUGUUACAGGAAAACACUUUCUUAGACUGCAUGUGCCUUUAAACAGUACUACUGAGAAUUUUGUUAUUUCUCUGCAAAGAUGUGAUCACAGUAUUACAAGGAAGACAUUGUUAGUUGCACAAUACCCUUCAUUCAGCUCUUUUGAAGCAAGUAUUGUGCGUGUCUUGUGUAAGUAUAACCACAUGUUACAUUGGAGAACUAAGAAAAGAUGUAAAUCAGUGUGGUGAGGAAAAUCAGGGAAAGACUGACCUUUCUGGUAAAGUUUAACACCAUUCUCUUUUAGGUAGUAUUGUAUAAUGUAGGCUUGUGUCAUAGGAAAAACUCUAGAGAAAGCAAGUAAGUGUUACAUAAUUUAAUAUUUUUUUAAUUCAGGUAAUUAAUCACAGCUUAAAGUAGACAGUUGUACACAUCUGUCAAUGUCUCUCCAUUUGUGGUGUUUUUAAUGUCUAUCUGCCUCCCUUGUCACUGUCAAAUAGUUUGCUGGUUCCUAUAUAGCUACUGAAAACUAACCCUUUUUAACAUCUUGCUUCUCUCCCACCGUGGAGGAAGAAAAUGGAUUUGCUCUAGAACAAAUGUAGGCAGAAGCAGGCUCUGAUUGAGUCAUUUUCCUAAGGUGGAUUGGGUGAAUUUAGCAUGAAGGCUGUGAUUUUGUUUCCUAUGCAAUCCAAGACUGAUGGUUUUCUUCUGAUUUCUUUUUCCAAGCAUGCCUACAUGAGGAUGACCUUUGGGUGAUAUUUUUGCAAAAAAUAAAAUUUCCAGGGACUUUUAAUGUAGCUAGAAUCUGUACUUAUGUAUGAUUUAUUCCUGAUGGCUAAUGACCUACCCGUGGGUGUUUAAUAACCGCAGAAUAAAACCGCAGAAUAAAAAGUUC